GAGCGUGCCCCUGAGAAUCGCGUCGUUGUGGCUUCGGGGUCUCUGGUUCAAGUCCAGGAUAGCCCAUGCCAGGAAAAAAA
RNAcentral lists this transfer RNA (80 nucleotides) under Ephedra przewalskii. Its description in RNAcentral is "tRNA-Glu". Lineage: Eukaryota; Viridiplantae; Streptophyta; Gnetopsida; Ephedrales; Ephedraceae. The record is from RNAcentral.